GGAAUUAUUGGGCGUAAAGAGCUCGUAGGCGGUGUGUCACGUCUGCUGUGAAAAUCCAAGGCUCAACCUUGGACUUGCAGUGGGUACGGGCACACUCGAGUGCGGUAGGGGAGAUUGGAAUUCCUGGUGUAGCGGUGGAAUGCGCAGAUAUCAGGAGGAACACCGAUGGCGAAGGCAGAUCUCUGGGCCGUAACUGACGCUGAGGAGCGAAAGCGUGGGGAGCGAACAGGAUUAGAUACCCUGGUAGUCCACGCCGUAAACGGUGGGAACUAGAUGUGGGGUCCGUUCCACGGAUUCCGUGUCGCAGCUAACGCAUUAAGUUCCCCGCCUGGGGAGUACGGCCGCAAGGCUAAAACUCAAAGGAAUUGACGGGGGCCCGCACAAGCGGCGGAGCAUGCGGAUUAAUUCGAUGCAACGCGAAGAACCUUACCAAGGCUUGACAUAUAGAGGAAAAGUGCAGAGAUGCACUCCCCGCAAGGUCUCUAUACAGGUGGUGCAUGGCU
This 503-nucleotide ribosomal RNA is filed under the name uncultured Microbacteriaceae bacterium. RNAcentral describes it as "bacterial SSU rRNA". It matches the Rfam family "Bacterial small subunit ribosomal RNA", at positions 547 to 1050 of the family's 1533-position model. The record is from RNAcentral. Lineage: Bacteria; Bacillati; Actinomycetota; Actinomycetes; Micrococcales; Microbacteriaceae.